ACUCCUACGGGGAGGCAGCAGUGGGGAAUAUUGGACAAUGGGGGAAACCCUGAUCCAGCCAUGCCGCGUGUGUGAAGAAGGCCUUCGGGGUUUGUAAAAGCACUUUCAGUGGGGAGGAAAGGUUGUUGGUUAAUACCUAACAGCUGUGACGUUACCCACAGAAGAAGCACCGGCUAACUCCGUGCCAGCAGCCGCGGUAAUACGGAGGGGGCUAGCGUUGUUCGAAUUACUGGGC
This 235-nucleotide ribosomal RNA is filed under the name uncultured bacterium. RNAcentral describes it as "partial 16S ribosomal RNA". It matches the Rfam family "Bacterial small subunit ribosomal RNA", at positions 335 to 559 of the family's 1533-position model. The record is from RNAcentral.